RNAcentral lists this ribosomal RNA (472 nucleotides) under uncultured bacterium. RNAcentral's name for it is "bacterial SSU rRNA". It matches the Rfam family "Bacterial small subunit ribosomal RNA", at positions 355 to 825 of the family's 1533-position model. The record is from RNAcentral.
UAGGGAAUUUUGGGCAAUGGGCGCAAGCCUGAUCCAGCCAUGCCGCGUGAGUGAAGAAGGCCUUCGGGUUGUAAAGCUCUUUCGGUGGGGACGAAAAGGUUCGUGCUAAUACCACGAACUAAUGACGGUACUCGAAGAAGAAGCACCGGCUAACUACGUGCCAGCAGCCGCGGUAAUACGUAGGGUGCAGGCGUUAAUCGGAAUUACUGGGCGUAAAGCGUGCGCAGGCGGUUGUGUAAGUCAGAUGUGAAAUCCCCGGGCUCAACCUGGGAAUUGCAUUUGAGACUGCACGGCUAGAGUGUGUCAGAGGGGGGUAGAAUUCCACGUGUAGCAGUGAAAUGCGUAGAUAUGUGGAGGAAUACCGAUGGCGAAGGCAGCCCCCUGGGAUAACACUGACGCUCAUGCACGAAAGCGUGGGGAGCAAACAGGAUUAGAUACCCAAGUAGUCCCUGAGCGGGCUGGCAAGGCGCAU